Molecule: ribosomal RNA, 1471 nt
Filed under: Staphylococcus pseudintermedius
Lineage: Bacteria; Bacillati; Bacillota; Bacilli; Caryophanales; Staphylococcaceae
Description: partial 23S ribosomal RNA
Rfam family: Bacterial large subunit ribosomal RNA
Source: RNAcentral
UCCAGAGGAAGGCUCGUCCGCUCUGGGUUAGUCGGGUCCUAAGCUGAGGCCGACAGGCGUAGGCGAUGGAUAACAGGUUGAUAUUCCUGUACCACCAUUAUUCGUUUUAAGCGAUGGGGGGACGCAGUAGGAUAGGCGAAGCGUGCUGUUGGAGUGCACGUCCAAGCAGUGAGAUUGAGUGUUAGGCAAAUCCGGCACUCUUAAGAUUGAGCUGUGAUGGGGAGAGGAACUUGUUCCUCGAGUCGUUGAUUUCACACUGCCGAGAAAAGCCUCUAGCUAGAAUAACGGUGCCCGUACCGCAAACCGACACAGGUAGUCAAGAUGAGAAUUCUAAGGUGAGCGAGCGAACUCUCGUUAAGGAACUCGGCAAAAUGACCCCGUAACUUCGGGAGAAGGGGUGCUCUUUGAGGUUCACGCUUCGAAGAGCCGCAGUGAAUAGGCCCAAGCGACUGUUUAUCAAAAACACAGGUCUCUGCUAAACCGUAAGGUGACGUAUAGGGGCUGACGCCUGCCCGGUGCUGGAAGGUUAAGAGGAGUGGUUAGCGCAAGCGAAGCUACGAAUCGAAGCCCCAGUAAACGGCGGCCGUAACUAUAACGGUCCUAAGGUAGCGAAAUUCCUUGUCGGGUAAGUUCCGACCCGCACGAAAGGCGUAACGAUUUGGGCACUGUCUCAACGAGAGACUCGGUGAAAUCAUAGUACCGGUGAAGAUGCCGGUUACCCGCGACAGGACGGAAAGACCCCGUGGAGCUUUACUGUAGCCUGAUAUUGAAAUUCGGUACAGUUUGUACAGGAUAGGUAGGAGCCUUAGAAGCGUGAGCGCUAGCUUACGUGGAGGCAUUGGUGGGAUACUACCCUAAUUGUAUUGGAUUUCUAACCCGCAGCACUUAUCGUGCUGGGAGACAGUGUCAGGCGGGCAGUUUGACUGGGGCGGUCGCCUCCUAAAGAGUAACGGAGGCGCUCAAAGGUUCCCUCAGAAUGGUUGGAAAUCAUUCAUAGAGUGUAAAGGCAUAAGGGAGCUUGACUGCGAGACCUACAAGUCGAGCAGGGUCGAAAGACGGACUUAGUGAUCCGGUGGUUCCGCAUGGAAGGGCCAUCGCUCAACGGAUAAAAGCUACCCCGGGGAUAACAGGCUUAUCUCCCCCAAGAGUUCACAUCGACGGGGAGGUUUGGCACCUCGAUGUCGGCUCAUCGCAUCCUGGGGCUGUAGUCGGUCCCAAGGGUUGGGCUGUUCGCCCAUUAAAGCGGUACGCGAGCUGGGUUCAGAACGUCGUGAGACAGUUCGGUCCCUAUCCGUCGUGGGCGUAGGAAAUUUGAGAGGAGCUGUCCUUAGUACGAGAGGACCGGGAUGGACAUACCUCUGGUGUACCAGUUGUCGUGCCAACGGCAUAGCUGGGUAGCUAUGUAUGGACGGGAUAAGUGCUGAAAGCAUCUAAGCAUGAAGCCCCCCUCGAGAUGAGAUUUCCCAACUUC